CCUACGGGGGACUGCAGUGGGGGAUAUUGCACAAUGGGGGGAACCCUGAUGCAGCGACGCCGCGUGGGUGAAGGAGCGUUUCGGCGCGUAAAGCCCUAUCGGCAGGGAAGAAGGAGGCCGGUACCUGACUAAGAAGCCCCGGCUAACUACGUGCCAGCAGCCGCGGUAAUACGUAGGGGGCAAGCGUUAUCCGGAUUUACUGGGUGUAAAGGGAGCGUAGGCGGGACUGCAAGUUGGGUGUCAAAUCUACCGGCUCAACCGGUAGCCGCACUCAAAACUGCAGUUCUUGAGUGAAGUAGAGGCAGGCGGAAUUCCUAGUGUAGCGGUGAAAUGCGUAGAUAUUAGGAGGAACACCAGUGGCGAAGGCGGCCUGCUGGGCUUUGACUGACGCUGAGGCUCGAAAGUGUGGGGAGCAAACAGGAUUAGAUACCCUUGUAGUC
This 440-nucleotide ribosomal RNA is filed under the name uncultured bacterium. Its description in RNAcentral is "partial 16S ribosomal RNA". It matches the Rfam family "Bacterial small subunit ribosomal RNA", at positions 338 to 795 of the family's 1533-position model. The record is from RNAcentral.